GACGAACGCUGGCGGCGUGCUUAACACAUGCAAGUCGAACGGAAAGGCCCUGCUUUUGUGGGGUGCUCGAGUGGCGAACGGGUGAGUAACACGUGAGUAACCUGCCCCUGACUUUGGGAUAACUUCAGGAAACUGGGGCUAAUACCGGAUAGGAGCUCUUGCUGCAUGGUGGGGGUUGGAAAGUUUCGGUGGUUGGGGAUGGACUCGCGGCUUCUCAGCUUGUUGGUGGGGUAGUGGCUUACCAAGGCUUUGACGGGUAGCCGGCCUGAGAGGGUGACCGGCCACAUUGGGACUGAGAUACGGCCCAGACUCCUACGGGAGGCAACGGUGGAGAAUAUUACACAGUGGGCGGAAGCCUGAUGCAGCGACGCCGCGUGCGGGAAAACGGCCUUCGGGUUGUAAACCACUUUCGCCUGUGACGAGGCGUUAGUGACGGUAAUGGGUAAAGAAGCACCGGCUAACUACGUG
RNAcentral lists this ribosomal RNA (468 nucleotides) under uncultured bacterium. Its description in RNAcentral is "partial 16S ribosomal RNA". It matches the Rfam family "Bacterial small subunit ribosomal RNA", at positions 28 to 507 of the family's 1533-position model. The record is from RNAcentral.